GGAGUGGGCCGGAGGAUCGCCUCCGUAAGGAGGAGGAAAGUCCGAACUCCAACGGGCAGCAGGCUGGAUAACGUCCAGGCGUGGAGACGCGACGGAAAGUGCAACAGAAAGAUACCGCCUCUAACGGGGUAAGGGUGAAAUGGUGCGGUAAGAGCGCACCGCAUCGCACGCGAGUGCCGAUGGCAUGGCAAACCCCCUGCGGAGCAAGACCAAAUAGGGGAGCAGUGGAACCGCCCGUUUCCGUAGAAAGCUCCCGGGUAGGUCGCUUGACCGCCGCGGUAACGCGGUCGGCAGAUGAAUGAUCUUCGCUCUUUCGGGAGAACAGAAUUCGGCUUACAGGCCCACUCCACUU
This 352-nucleotide RNase P RNA is filed under the name Acidobacteriota bacterium. RNAcentral's name for it is "Acidobacteria bacterium (groundwater metagenome) RNase P RNA component class A". It matches the Rfam family "Bacterial RNase P class A". Rfam says of the family: Ribonuclease P (RNase P) is a ubiquitous endoribonuclease, found in archaea, bacteria and eukarya as well as chloroplasts and mitochondria. Lineage: Bacteria; Pseudomonadati; Acidobacteriota. The record is from RNAcentral.